ACGAAGGGGGCUAGCGUUGCUCGGAAUUACUGGGCGUAAAGCGCACGUAGGCGGCUUUCUAAGUCGGGGGUGAAAUCCUGGAGCUCAACUCCAGAACUGCCUUCGAUACUGGAAAGCUCGAGUCCGGGAGAGGUGAGUGGAACUGCGAGUGUAGAGGUGAAAUUCGUAGAUAUUCGCAAGACCACCAGUGGCGAAGGCGGCUUGCCAGAACGCGCUCGACGGUGAGGGAUGAAAGCUGGGGGAGCAAACCGGA
This 253-nucleotide ribosomal RNA is filed under the name uncultured prokaryote. RNAcentral describes it as "partial 16S ribosomal RNA". It matches the Rfam family "Bacterial small subunit ribosomal RNA", at positions 525 to 777 of the family's 1533-position model. The record is from RNAcentral.